This 486-nucleotide ribosomal RNA is filed under the name uncultured bacterium. RNAcentral's name for it is "partial 16S ribosomal RNA". It matches the Rfam family "Bacterial small subunit ribosomal RNA", at positions 28 to 507 of the family's 1533-position model. The record is from RNAcentral.
GAUGAACGCUGGCGGCGUGCCUAAUACAUGCAAGUCGAACGCUGGAGAUCUAGCUUGCUAGCUCGAAGGAGUGGCGAACGGGUGAGUAAUACAUAAGCAACCUACCCACGAAGACUGGGAUAAUCUCUGGAAACGGGGACUAAUACCGGAUAGGUAAUCGGAAGGCAUCUUCUGGUUAUUAAAGGUUAAAAACACUGGUGGAUGGGCUUAUGGCGCAUUAGUUAGUUGGUGAGGUAACGGUCCACCAAGACGAUGAUGCGUAGCCGGCCUGAGAGGGUGAACGGCCACAUUGGGACUGAGACACGGCCCAGACUCCUACGGGAGGCAGCAGUAGGGAAUUUUCGGCAAUGGGGGCAACCCUGACCGAGCAACGCCGCGUGAGUGAAGACGGCCUUCGGGUUGUAAAGCUCUGUUGUAAGGGAAGAACGGUAGAUAGAGAAUAUCUAAGUGACGGUACCUUACCAGAAAGCCACGGCUAACUACGUG